RNAcentral lists this ribosomal RNA (256 nucleotides) under Candidatus Liberibacter europaeus. Its description in RNAcentral is "partial 16S ribosomal RNA". It matches the Rfam family "Bacterial small subunit ribosomal RNA", at positions 1030 to 1288 of the family's 1533-position model. The record is from RNAcentral. Lineage: Bacteria; Pseudomonadati; Pseudomonadota; Alphaproteobacteria; Hyphomicrobiales; Rhizobiaceae.
GCACACAGGUGCUGCAUGGCUGUCGUCAGCUCGUGUUGUGAAAUGUUGGGUUAAGUCCCGCAACGAGCGCAACCCCUGCCUAUAUUUGCCAUCAUUAAGUUGGGAACUUUAUAGGGACUGCCGGUGAUAAGCCGGAGGAAGGUGGGGAUGACGUCAAGUCCUCAUGGCCCUUAUGGGCUGGGCUACACACGUGCUACAAUGGUGGUGACAGAGGGUCGCAAAGUCGCGAGGCGGAGCUAAUCCCAAAAAGCCAUCU